CCUACGGGUGGCUGCAGUAGGGAAUAUUGGACAAUGGGUGCGAGCCUGAUCCAGCCAUGCCGCGUGCAGGAAGAAGGCGUUAUGCGUUGUAAACUGCUUUUGCCAGGGGAUAAAAUAACUGUGCGCAGUUGAUUGAAGGUACCUGGUGAAUAAGCCACGGCUAACUACGUGCCAGCCGCCGCGGUCAUACGUAGGUGGCAAGCGUUGUCCGGAUUUAAUGGGUUUGAAGGCGGCGUUGUAGGUCAUGGGUGAAAUAUAUCAGCUUAACUGAGAGGGUGCCAUUGAUACUGCGGGGCUUGAGUACAGAUGAGGUAGGCGGAAUUGACGGUGUAGCGGUGAAAUGCAUAGAUAUCGUCAAGAACACCGAUAGCGAAGGCAGCUUACCAAGCUGUAACUGACGCUGAGGCACGAAAGUGUGGGGAUCAAACAGGAUUAGAUACCCGAGUAGUC
Molecule: ribosomal RNA, 450 nt
Filed under: uncultured bacterium
Lineage: Bacteria
Description: partial 16S ribosomal RNA
Rfam family: Bacterial small subunit ribosomal RNA
Source: RNAcentral